GAAGUUGUUAUGCCAGCUCAGAGACUUCGAGAAGCUGUUAUGGUUGUGGAUUCUGUUCUGUGUGCUUAGCAAUUUGUUAGGCAAGAUUAGUUAUGUGAGCGGGAAAGUGAGAAUCUGUUAUGGAGUUGUUAGAUUGUUAGCUAUAAAUGAUGUAAAUGAUUGCAUAGAAACCAUUCUUGAUUUCUUAAUGAAGUUGAUUGAGAUUUGAGUUCCAUUCUAUGUGUUUCCUUCCUUUCUAUUUUUGUCUGCUACUACAUUGGUAUCAGAGCUGUGGUCCACGGCCAUGACAGGGGUGGAGAUGCGAUCCCAAGAGUGGCGAAAAAAGUUGGCUUCGAUGGUGAUUGAGGCUGAGCACAGACAGGAAGCUUGGCUAUAGAAGAUGGUGGCGAGACAGGAAGUUAAGUUUCAGGAAAUUGUUGAUGAGUUGAAAACUUUGAUUACUGGAUUAAGGUGUCAGAAUGUGGAGACAGUGGGAAGAAGGAAUCAGGAUGUGCAAGUGCCAGUUGUUGAUAAUAUAGUGAGGGCUAAUCCGUGGAACAAUUCUG
RNAcentral lists this unclassified non-coding RNA (545 nucleotides) under Hevea brasiliensis (rubber tree). Lineage: Eukaryota; Viridiplantae; Streptophyta; Magnoliopsida; Malpighiales; Euphorbiaceae. The record is from RNAcentral.